RNAcentral lists this ribosomal RNA (459 nucleotides) under uncultured bacterium. RNAcentral describes it as "partial 16S ribosomal RNA". It matches the Rfam family "Bacterial small subunit ribosomal RNA", at positions 338 to 795 of the family's 1533-position model. The record is from RNAcentral.
CCUACGGGAGGCAGCAGUGAGGAAUAUUGGUCAAUGGCCGAGAGGCUGAACCAGCCAAGUCGCGUGAGGGAAGACGGCCCUACGGGUUGUAAACCUCUUUUGUCGGGGAGCAAAGCGAGUCACGUGUGACUCAUUGAGAGUACCCGAAGAAAAAGCAUCGGCUAACUCCGUGCCAGCAGCCGCGGUAAUACGGAGGAAGCGAGCGUUAUCCGGAUUUAUUGGGUUUAAAGGGUGCGCAGGCGGAGGUGCAAGUCAGCGGUCAAAUUGCGGGGCUCAACCCCGUACUGCCGUUGAAACUGCAGCCCUUGAGUGCGCGAGAAGUAGGCGGAAUGCGUGGUGUAGCGGUGAAAUGCAUAGAUAUCACGCAGAACUCCGAUUGCGAAGGCAGCAUACCGGCGCGCAACUGACGCUCAUGCACGAAAGCGUGGGUAUCGAACAGGAUUAGAUACCCCUGUAGUC